AGAUUGAACGCUGGCGGCAUGCCUAACACAUGCAAGUCGAACGGCAACAUGGUCUAGCUUGCUAGGCUGAUGGCGAGUGGCGAACGGGUGAGUAACGCGUAGGAAUAUACCUUAAAGUGGGGGACAACUUGGGGAAACUCAAGCUAAUACCGCAUAAUCUCUGAGGAGAGAAGCUGGGGACCCGUAAGGCCUGGCGCUUUAAGAUUAGCCUGCGUCCGAUUAGCUAGUUGGUAGGGUAAAGGCCUACCAAGGCGACGAUCGGUA
RNAcentral lists this ribosomal RNA (264 nucleotides) under uncultured bacterium. RNAcentral's name for it is "partial small subunit ribosomal RNA". It matches the Rfam family "Bacterial small subunit ribosomal RNA", at positions 26 to 285 of the family's 1533-position model. The record is from RNAcentral.